AUCAGCCACUGCUAAUCGUAAGUAUUCGGCUUGACGUCGAUCGUGCGAAAUUCGUCGGCGUCGCUGAAGCACGAAAGCAAUUCGAUUUUUCCGUCAAUUUUAUUCUCCAAAGAUGAAUGGGAAGACGUGAAAAAUGUUGGAAAAGCGUAAGAGAAUGGCGGAAACAUUACGAAGAUUGAGAGAAUAAAAUAAUCGGCUAUUUAACAGCGUGGAAUCGUGUCGAAACCAACCGACCGCAGGAUUCGAGGUUUAGUAUCGUGCAAUAAUAGUGAUUUAUGAAACGACGCGCUGACCGAAUCUGGGUACUGAGGACGAGGACGAGGACCAGGACGAGAACGAGGACGAGGACGAAACGCGGAGAAGUGAACUUACAUGCGACGAAUGAAAACGCGUCGUGGUGCAUGGUAUGACAAUUAUACAGAGGCUAAUGUAAGUACCUUUCACACUACUACUACAUACUACAUACUACUACAUACUAUUACUAGCGAAGAUGAGAAAAAUACGAAAUACGGGAAAGACUAGUUUCACAGACUCGCCUGGCGGAGGUCUCAGACCCCGCGGACGGUGUGCAGAGACGAAAGGAAAUUUUACGGCGACGUCCGCAUCGUCAUUUUAAGUGCGUGCACAAUAACGCGAGCCAGUCCGAUUGUAAGGUGGACAGAAAUGACAAGUUACACGUUGAUUGAAAUCAUAAUUAUGCACACCGGAUUAGCGUCAUCGGUACGAUACGUGAACCGAUUUCAUUGACCGCAUCGAGCGUUGUCUGAACCGAUAACUCUUCGACGUCGAACUAUAUUUAGAAAUACAGCGUCGUCUUCGUUGUAAACGCAGAGAUAAAUGCUGCUGCACCAGUUCAACAUUCUUACCCCUUAUCUUUGUCGUCGUGCCGUUGUUACCGAGUCGCCUAGCGAUUGCUAACUGCAGCUAAUUGGCAUGGCAGAUAUUAUGCAUAUGUAUGGGCAACGUCGUCGUGCAACCAAUGACUGUAAUUUGUGCUCACAAUAUAGCUAGCCGUGAUGAAAUUGGGUAUGGAAGUCGUGAUUUCUAAACUAAACGGAUCGUUAGUCGAAAGAGAAACUUUUUAACGAGUGUAAAAUAAUCACUGGUCUGCAAAAGAAUGAACUUUUUUCUGUCUCCUUCUUAUCAUCAUGUGCAAUAAUAAUAGAUCUCAUGCUUUUGAAUCAAAACAUGGUAAUAAAAAAUACGUGACACGUAAACUUUUUAUGCAA
This 1229-nucleotide long non-coding RNA is filed under the name Neodiprion lecontei (redheaded pine sawfly). RNAcentral describes it as "uncharacterized LOC124294184". Lineage: Eukaryota; Metazoa; Arthropoda; Insecta; Hymenoptera; Diprionidae. The record is from RNAcentral.